RNAcentral lists this unclassified non-coding RNA (356 nucleotides) under Bombus terrestris (buff-tailed bumblebee). RNAcentral describes it as "misc RNA ENSBTSG00005021388.1". The stretch from base 1 to 297 matches the Rfam family "Eukaryotic large subunit ribosomal RNA", at positions 1084 to 1382 of the family's 3401-position model. The record is from RNAcentral. Lineage: Eukaryota; Metazoa; Arthropoda; Insecta; Hymenoptera; Apidae.
CUUGGAUCAUGAAGCCACGAGAUAUUGGAUCAGAGUGCCAAGUGGGCCAAUUUUGGUAAGCAGAACUGGCGCUGUGGGAUGAACCAAACGUGGAGUUAAGGCGCCUAAGUCGACGCUUAUGGGAUACCAUGAAAGGCGUUGGUUGCUUAAGACAGCAGGACGGUGGCCAUGGAAGUCGGAAUCCGCUAAGGAGUGUGUAACAACUCACCUGCCGAAGCAACUAGCCCUGAAAAUGGAUGGCGCUGAAGCGUCGCGCCUAUACUCCGCCGUCAGUGGCAAGUGGGAAGGCACGCGAGUCUCUCGAUCCUAAGCCCUAAGAGAAAUCCUAUGCAGAUGAGGUGUCCUAAGAUCAUACA